GGAGAGAUGUCCGAGAGGCUUAUGGUAGCGGUCUCGAAAACCGUUGUGCAAGAUGUCUUGUACCGUGGGUUCAAAUCCCACUCUCUCCG
This 89-nucleotide transfer RNA is filed under the name Tissierella sp. MB52-C2. RNAcentral's name for it is "tRNA-Ser". It matches the Rfam family "tRNA". From Rfam's summary of the family: Transfer RNA (tRNA) molecules are approximately 80 nucleotides in length. Their secondary structure includes four short double-helical elements and three loops (D, anti-codon, and T loops). Lineage: Bacteria; Bacillati; Bacillota; Tissierellia; Tissierellales; Tissierellaceae. The record is from RNAcentral.